RNAcentral lists this ribosomal RNA (466 nucleotides) under uncultured bacterium. Its description in RNAcentral is "bacterial SSU rRNA". It matches the Rfam family "Bacterial small subunit ribosomal RNA", at positions 338 to 795 of the family's 1533-position model. The record is from RNAcentral.
CCUACGGGGGGCUGCAGGCUAGAAAUUUGGGCAAUGGGGGAAACCCUGACCCAGUGACGCCGCGUGCAGGAAGGAGCCCUUCGGGGUGUAAACUGCUGUCGUGUAGGGAGAAGGGUACUAAGGUGAACAAUCUUAGUACUUGACGGUACUACAGGAGGAAGCCCAGGCUAACCUCGUGCCAGCAGCCGCGGUAAUACGGGGUGGGCGAGCGUUGCCCGGAAUUACUGGGUUUAAAGGGGGUGUAGGCGGUCUGGAUAGUCGGGUGUGUAAUGCAAUCGCUCAACGAUUGAGCUGCAUCUGAUACUUCCAGGCUAGAGGGCGGUAGAGGAGAGCGGAACUCCCGGUGUAGCGGUGAAAUGCGUAGAUAUCGGGAGGAACGCCGGUGGCGAAGGCGGCUCUCUGGGCCGUUCCUGACGCUGAGGCCCGAAAGCUGGGGGAGCGAAAGGGAUUAGAUACCCUGGUAGUC